RNAcentral lists this transfer RNA (65 nucleotides) under Melanesthes exilidentata. Its description in RNAcentral is "tRNA-Arg". The record is from RNAcentral. Lineage: Eukaryota; Metazoa; Arthropoda; Insecta; Coleoptera; Tenebrionidae.
AAAUAAGAAGCAAAAAUUGCAUUUAGUUUCGACCUAAAAAUAUGAUUAAAAUUAAUCCUUAUUUU